This is a non-coding RNA of Arachis ipaensis, 225 nucleotides long. NCBI's taxonomy places the organism in Eukaryota, Viridiplantae, Streptophyta, Magnoliopsida, Fabales, Fabaceae. The record is from RefSeq and is a predicted model, not a curated record.
UUUUACUUGCUUGAUGACUUCUGUUUUCAUUUUUCCUUUUGUUAUUAAGAUAUUAUCGAUCGUUACUGCUCGGUUAUAGAUACGUAAAAUCAUCCGAUGCAAAUUUGUCUGUUUACCCAAACCCAGCAUUAUUUUUAUAUUUCCUUUAUCAGUUAAAAGCUGACCCCCACUUAGUGGAAUAAGGCUUUGUUGUUGUUUUUUAUCUGCUAAAAGUUCUUAUUUUGC